CCUACGGGUGGCAGCAGUGAGGAAUAUUGGUCAAUGGACGAGAGUCUGAACCAGCCAAGUAGCGUGAAGGAUGACCGCCCUAUGGGUUGUAAACUUCUUUUAUAUGGGAAUAAAACGUUCCACGUGUGGGAUUUUGUAUGUACCAUAUGAAUAAGGAUCGGCUAACUCCGUGCCAGCAGCCGCGGUAAUACGGAGGAUCCGAGCGUUAUCCGGAUUUAUUGGGUUUAAAGGGAGCGUAGGUGGAUUGUUAAGUCAGUUGUGAAAGUUUGCGGCUCAACCGUAAAAUUGCAGUUGAAACUGGCAGUCUUGAGUACAGUAGAGGUGGGCGGAAUUCGUGGUGUAGCGGUGAAAUGCUUAGAUAUCACGAAGAACUCCGAUUGCGAAGGCAGUUCACUGGACUGCAACUGACACUGAGGCUCGAAAGUGUGGGUAUCAAACAGGAUUAGAUACCCUUGUAGUC
Molecule: ribosomal RNA, 460 nt
Filed under: uncultured bacterium
Lineage: Bacteria
Description: partial 16S ribosomal RNA
Rfam family: Bacterial small subunit ribosomal RNA
Source: RNAcentral